GACGAACGCUGGCGGCGUGCUUAACACAUGCAAGUCGAGCGGUAAGGCCCUUUCGGGGGUACACGAGCGGCGAACGGGUGAGUAACACGUGGGUGACCUGCCCUCAGCUCUGGGAUAAGCCUGGGAAACCGGGUCUAAUACCGGAUAUGACUCCAUGACGCAUGUUGUGGGGUGGAAAGCCUUGUGCGGCUGAGGAUGGGCCCGCGGCCUAUCAGCUUGUUGGUGGGGUNAUGGCCUACCAAGGCGACGACGGGUAGCCGGCCUGAGAGGGCGACCGGCCACACU
This 285-nucleotide ribosomal RNA is filed under the name uncultured bacterium. RNAcentral's name for it is "partial 16S ribosomal RNA". It matches the Rfam family "Bacterial small subunit ribosomal RNA", at positions 28 to 314 of the family's 1533-position model. The record is from RNAcentral.